This 906-nucleotide ribosomal RNA is filed under the name Agaricostilbaceae sp. RNAcentral describes it as "partial large subunit ribosomal RNA". It matches the Rfam family "Eukaryotic large subunit ribosomal RNA", at positions 65 to 956 of the family's 3401-position model. Lineage: Eukaryota; Fungi; Basidiomycota; Agaricostilbomycetes; Agaricostilbales; Agaricostilbaceae. The record is from RNAcentral.
CUAACAAGGAUUCCCCUAGUAACGGCGAGUGAAGCGGGAAGAGCUCAACUUUGUAAUCUGGUUGCUUUGCAAUCCGAGUUGUAGUCUAAAGAAGCGUGAUCCGCGCCGGACCUUGGACAUGUCUGUUGGAAAGCAGUGUCAAAGAGGGUGAUAAUCCCGUACAUACCAAGGACGACCGUGUGCAUUGUGAUCUGCUCUCUAAGAGUCGAGUUGUUUGGGAAUGCAGCUCUAAUCGGGUGGUAAAUUCCAUCUAAGGCUAAAUAUGGACGAGAGACCGAUAGCGAACAAGUACAGUAAUGGAAAGAUGAAAAGUAGCCUGCAGAGGCAAUGAAACAAUACGUGAAACCGUUUGUAGGGAAACGAUGGAACCUUUUCACGCUGCAGGGGCUCAGCCUGACUUCGGUCUGGUGUAUUCCCCUGUUUUGCGGAUCAGCAUCGGUUUGCAAUGUGGUAUAAGGGUGUUUGGAACGUGGCUCCAAUUCGUUGGAGUGUUAUAGCCUUUCACUGGAUGCUAUGUCGCAGACCGAGGACUGCAGUGCGCCGCAGGGCAUUACCCCCGGGUAACGAGCACUUAGGAUGCUGGUUGAAUGGGUUUCAACGACCCGUCUUGAAACACGGACCAAGGAGUCUAACAUGCCUGCGAGUGUUUGAGUGUCAAACUCGAGCGCGUAAUGAAAGUGAAUGAAGGUGGGAUCUGUCAAAGGUGCACCAUCGACCGGUCUUGAAGUUUACGGAUGGAUCUGAGUAAGAGCAUGUAUGUUGGGACCCGAAAGAUGGUGAACUAUGCCUGAAUAGGGUGAAGUCAGGUGAAAACCUGAUGGAGGCUCGUAGCGGUUCUGACGUGCAAAUCGAUCGUCAAAUUUGGGUAUAGGGGCGAAAGACUAAUCGAACCAUUAGGACCUACUA